AGCUUAUCCCUCGUACCUUUUGCAUCAUGAUUUAGCUAGUAAUAGUCAAGCAAAAAGCAUUUUAGUUUGACCCCCCGAAACCAAGUGAGCUACUCCAAGACAACCUAAAUCUAGGGUAAACCCGUCUCUGUGGCAAAAGAGUGGGAAGAGCUUUGAGUAGGGGUGACAGACCUACCGAACUUGGUUAUAGCUGGUUGCUUGAAAAAUGAAUAGGAGUUCCGCUUCUUAAAUUCUUACCCCCCUCGAUUUUAUCCCCUAAUAACAGACAGCAGAAUAUCAAGAAAAUUAAGAAAGUUAAUCAAAGGGGGUACAGCCCCUUUGAAACAAGGUACAACUUCUUUAGGAGGGUACAGAUCAUAAUUUACUUAAGGAACUUAUGCCUUGGUGGGCCUAAAAGCAGCCAUCCAACCAGAAAGCGUCAAAGCUCUAACAUUCCUUCCUCCCUAAUACUGAUAACAAGUCUUAGCCCCCUAACCAUAUCAAGCCGCUCCAUCGAAGCAUGGAAGUGAUUAUGCUAAAAUGAGUAAUAAGAGAAUACGUCUCUCUCCCCGCACAU
This 556-nucleotide ribosomal RNA is filed under the name Mugil cephalus (flathead mullet). Its description in RNAcentral is "partial 16S ribosomal RNA". It matches the Rfam family "Bacterial large subunit ribosomal RNA", at positions 589 to 1344 of the family's 2925-position model. Lineage: Eukaryota; Metazoa; Chordata; Actinopteri; Mugiliformes; Mugilidae. The record is from RNAcentral.